CCUACGGGAGGCAGCAGUAAGGAAUAUUGGUCAAUGGACGCAAGUCUGAACCAGCCAUGCCGCGUGAAGGAUGAAGGUCCUCUGGAUUGUAAACUUCUUUUAUUUGGGACGAAAAAAGGGUUUUCUAACUCACUUGACGGUACCAGAUGAAUAAGCACCGGCUAACUCCGUGCCAGCAGCCGCGGUAAUACGGAGGGUGCAAGCGUUAUCCGGAUUCACUGGGUUUAAAGGGUGCGUAGGCGGGUAUGUAAGUCAGCGGUGAAAUCCCCGAGCUUAACUUGGGAACUGCCGUUGAUACUAUAUAUCUUGAAUGUUGUGGAGGUUAGCGGAAUAUGUCAUGUAGCGGUGAAAUGCUUAGAUAUGACAUAGAACACCCAUUGCGAAGGCAGCUAACUACGCAAAUAUUGACGCUGAGGCACGAAAGCGUGGGGAUCAAACAGGAUUAGAUACCCUGGUAGUCCACGCCCUAAACGAUGAUUACUCGACAUUGGCGAUACACAGUCAGUGUCUGAGCGAAAGCAUUAAGUAAUCCACCUGGGAAGUACGAUCGCAAGAUUGAAACUUCAAAGGAAUUGACGG
This 579-nucleotide ribosomal RNA is filed under the name uncultured bacterium. RNAcentral's name for it is "bacterial SSU rRNA". It matches the Rfam family "Bacterial small subunit ribosomal RNA", at positions 338 to 916 of the family's 1533-position model. The record is from RNAcentral.